UGAAGCACUUGCUUACUGGUACUUUUUACUU
Molecule: non-coding RNA, 31 nt
Filed under: Rattus norvegicus (Norway rat)
Lineage: Eukaryota; Metazoa; Chordata; Mammalia; Rodentia; Muridae
Source: RNAcentral